This 22-nucleotide transfer RNA is filed under the name Syneilesis palmata. Its description in RNAcentral is "partial tRNA-Cys". Lineage: Eukaryota; Viridiplantae; Streptophyta; Magnoliopsida; Asterales; Asteraceae. RNAcentral also lists the same sequence under 1 other name. The record is from RNAcentral.
AGUUCAAAUCCGGGUGCCGCCU